This 871-nucleotide ribosomal RNA is filed under the name uncultured bacterium. RNAcentral's name for it is "bacterial SSU rRNA". It matches the Rfam family "Bacterial small subunit ribosomal RNA", at positions 28 to 896 of the family's 1533-position model. The record is from RNAcentral.
AUUGAACGCUGGCGGUAUGCUUAACACAUGCAAGUCGAACGGUAGCAGCUCUUCGGAGGCUGACGAGUGGCGGACGGGUGAGCAACGCGUAGGAAUCUGCCCCAUAGUGGGGGACAACGUGGGGGAAACCCACGCUAAUACCGCAUACGCCCUACGGGGGAAAGCGGGGGACUUUCGGGCCUCGCGCUAUGGGAUGAGCCUGCGUUAGAUUAGCUUGUUGGUAGGGUAAAGGCCUACCAAGGCGACGAUCUAUAGCUGGUCUGAGAGGGCGAUCAGCCACACUGGGACUGAGACACGGCCCAGACUCCUACGGGAGGCAGCAGUGGGGAAUAUUGGACAAUGGGCGGAAGCCUGAUCCAGCAAUACCGCGUGUGUGAAGAAGGCCUUAGGGUUGUAAAGCACUUUCAAUUGGGAGGAAAACGGACGGACCAAUACCCCGGCCCUUGACAUUACCUUUAGAAGAAGCACCGGCUAACUCCGUGCCAGCAGCCGCGGUAAUACGGAGGGUGCGAGCGUUAAUCGGAAUUACUGGGCGUAAAGCGUGCGUAGGCGGCCCGUUAAGUCAGAUGUGAAAGCCCCGGGCUCAACCUGGGAACUGCAUUUGAAACUGGCGGGCUAGAGUUUGGUAGAGGGGAGCGGAAUUUCAGGUGUAGCGGUGAAAUGCGUAGAUAUCUGAAGGAACACCAGUGGCGAAGGCGGCUCCCUGGACCAGAACUGACGCUGAGGUACGAAAGCGUGGGUAGCAAACAGGAUUAGAUACCCUGGUAGUCCACGCCGUAACCGAUGUCGACUAGCCGUUGGGCCCUUCAUGGGUUUAGUGGCGCAGCUAACGCAUUAAGUCGACCGCCUGGGGAGUACGGCCGCAAGGUUA